RNAcentral lists this ribosomal RNA (495 nucleotides) under uncultured bacterium. RNAcentral describes it as "partial 16S ribosomal RNA". It matches the Rfam family "Bacterial small subunit ribosomal RNA", at positions 28 to 507 of the family's 1533-position model. The record is from RNAcentral.
GACGAACGCUGGCGGCGUGCCUAAUACAUGCAAGUAGAACGCUGCAGGCGGAGCUUGCUUCUCAGGAUGAGUUGCGAACGGGUGAGUAACGCGUAGGUAACCUGCCUGGUAGCGGGGGAUAACUAUUGGAAACGAUAGCUAAUACCGCAUAACAGUAGAUAUUGCAUGAUAUCUGCUUGAAAGGUGCAAUUGCAUCACUACUAGAUGGCCCUGAGUUGUAUUAGCUAGGUGGUGAGGUAACGGCUCACCAAGGCCACGAUACCUAAACGACCUGCGAGGGGGAUCUGCCACACUGGGACGGAGACACGGCCAGGACUACUAGGGGAGGCAGCAGUAGGGAAUCUUCGGCAAAGGACGGAAGUGUGACCGUGCAACGCCGCGUGAGUGAAGAAGGUAUUCGGAUCGUAAAGCUCUGUUGUAAGAGAAGAAUGAGUGUGAGAGUGGAAAGUGCACAUUGUAACGGUAUCUUACCAGAAAGGGACGGCUAACUACGUG